UACGAAGGGGGCUAGCGUUGCUCGGAAUUACUGGGCGUAAAGCGCACGUAGGCGGUCUUUUAAGUCGGGGGUGAAAUCCUGGAGCUCAACUCCAGAACUGCCUUCGAUACUGGAAGACUUGAGUCCGGGAGAGGUGAGUGGAACUGCGAGUGUAGAGGUGAAAUUCGUAGAUAUUCGCAAGAACACCAGUGGCGAAGGCGGCUCACUGGCCCGGUACUGACGCUGAGGUGGCGAAAAGCGU
This 241-nucleotide ribosomal RNA is filed under the name uncultured bacterium. Its description in RNAcentral is "partial 16S ribosomal RNA". It matches the Rfam family "Bacterial small subunit ribosomal RNA", at positions 524 to 762 of the family's 1533-position model. The record is from RNAcentral.